UCGAGAUGAAUUUCAGAUGACGAGUCUGAGCACGUCUGCCAGUUUCUGGCUGUCCUCUGCGCUGACGAGUCUCCUUUCUUUACCAUUCAUGCUUUUCUGAUC
RNAcentral lists this small nucleolar RNA (102 nucleotides) under Leucoagaricus sp. SymC.cos. Lineage: Eukaryota; Fungi; Basidiomycota; Agaricomycetes; Agaricales; Agaricaceae. The record is from RNAcentral.